RNAcentral lists this unclassified non-coding RNA (253 nucleotides) under uncultured Dehalococcoidia bacterium. Its description in RNAcentral is "contains 16S-23S intergenic spacer region". It matches the Rfam family "Bacterial small subunit ribosomal RNA", at positions 524 to 776 of the family's 1533-position model. The record is from RNAcentral. Lineage: Bacteria; Bacillati; Chloroflexota; Dehalococcoidia.
UACGUAGGUGGCGAGCGUUGUCCGGAAUUAUUGGGCGUAAAGGGUCCGUAGGCGGUUCGUUAAGUCUCCUGUGAAAACUGCAGGCUCAACCUGGAGCGGUCGGGGGAUACUGGCGAACUUGAGACUGUCAGAGGAAAGUGGAAUUCCCGGUGUAGUGGUGAAAUGCGUAGAUAUCGGGAGGAACACCAGUGGCGAAAGCGGCUUUCUGGGACAGUUCUGACGCUGAUGGACGAAAGCGUGGGUAGCAAACCGG